Long non-coding RNA from Pan troglodytes (chimpanzee), 3381 nucleotides. RefSeq lists it as uncharacterized. NCBI's taxonomy places the organism in Eukaryota, Metazoa, Chordata, Mammalia, Primates, Hominidae. The transcript is spliced from 2 exons. The record is from RefSeq and is a predicted model, not a curated record.
GAGUGUGCUGGGGGUGGGCAGAGGACUGGAGAGUACAAAAGGAGGAGGCUCCCCUUCGGAGAGCAGAGAUAAGAGGAGGCAGGGAGUGAAACUGCCCGAGGAACAGAGAGGAGAGGGGAGGAGAGGAGAGGAGAGGAGAGGAGAGGGGAGGAGAGGAGAGGAGAGGAGAGGAGAGGAGAGGAGAGGAGAGAUCAUAUCUGUAGCUAGGUCACAUCUGGACAGGACCCAAGUCCAAGGUAAAGCGAGAACAAGUGACGGAACUAAAGAAUGAAGGAGAAAUGGGUGGACAGGGCACAAAUUGGGGAAUGACAGCCUAUUCAGUGAGGAUAGGAAAUGCACAUAAAGGACAGAUGAAGAUGAUUUCUCUGUGUGUGAUUAGAAGGAUAGCAAUUACAAAGAUAAGAGUGAAAGGAGAGGGAGGAAAGGGGAAAAGGGAAUAAGUAAGAAGACAAAAUAAGCAAUGAGUGUCUAAGUACCGAUCUGAAUGCUUAGAAAAUCACCAGGCUGUUAGGCUGAGCCAAAAGAAGAGCCACAGCCGUACCCAAGAGGGGACCAUCGGAAAGACAGAAGCAGGCAAUUUAAGUAGCUAGCUACUGGGGUAAAAUGAAAAAAAAGAAAAAAUAGAAGAUGGAAAAGGUGAGAAGCAAAAGAGGGAAAACCCAAAGGAGACACUGGCCCAGAAACCUUUUUAACUUUCUGUAAGAAUCUUCAAGGCCCCAAACUAGGCCAAGAUUCUGACUGACAUUUCUGAGCUCACCAGCUGCCGCUUCCUUGAGAGAAUUCUGACAGGAAGGCAUAGAAAUGCGAGCCAACACUGCCAGCUCUGGAAAAUAAAUAAAUAAGUAAAUAACUACCCACAUCCUAAACACCUCAGUGGGGGCCGAAGCCUGCUGGGGAAGAAAGCCCAGCGAGGAGGAGGGACCCGCCUGCAACUUUUCCCCAGGCUUAGACAACUGAUGCUUGAGACACACCAAGGAACCUGCACACUAGAGGCUGCAGUCACCUCAGAAGAAAGAUGCCCCCUGCUCUGGCUGGUCAAACGGAACCAAGUCCGUCUUCCUGAGAGGUUUGGUCCCCUUCAACCAGCUACAGCAGGGCUGGCAAUGCCCAGUCCUUGGAGAAACAGAAGAGAUUCAACUGCAACUGAAAUUACCUACUAAAACUUUCCUUGAGAAAACAAUUCUGGUUUUUUCACCAUACUCUUAUGCUCCCAGGAAGGAAGAGAAGAGGAGUCCUGGAGUCAAAAGUGAGCAAGAUUUUAAUGCUCAACACACACUGUUCUGUGCCUUUGCACUCACAGCUACAGCCACUUACAUGCUUUUGACAGACACACAGUCAAGAAAGAGUUUGAGGAUGGAGUUUGUGCCAACCCUAAGCCAGCCAGGGGAAGAGCAUGAGACAUAGAAGACAGGGCUCCUGCUCACUAGGGGCUAACAGUCUAUGGAAAGAAAUUAGACAUGUAUAUAUGGCGUGAUCCAAUUGAAUUGCAAGUUAUAGCAUGGCUAGUUCCAAGGCAUAAUUCUUACCUAUCCCACCAAAUAUGCCUAGCACAUUAUGUAUCAUCAAGUCUCUAUUGAUCUAUUCAGCCCAAGAUAUCUAUUCACUAAGCAAUCAUUUCUCAGUUCCUUGAUCUGUAGAAUAGGGAUAAUAGUACCUGUCACACCAGGCACAGUGGCUUAUGCCUAAAAUCUCAGCAUUUGGGGUGGCUAAGACAGGGGAUUGCUUGAGGCCAGAAGUUCCAGAUCAGCCUGGUCAACAUAGCAAGAUGCUGUUUCUACCAAAAAAAAAUUUUUUUUGUUUUAAUUAGCUGAAUGUGGUAGUGCACACCUAUAGUCCUAGCUACUUGGGAGGCUGAGGCAGGAAGAUCACUUAAGUCCAGGAGAUGGAGGCUGUAAUGAGCUAAGUUCUCAUAAUUGCUACCUUUUACUAAGGGAGAAUUCUGACCUGUCCUUCCAGUUUAUCUUUUAAGAUUUGUAUCUUUUAUGGUGUGUGUCUGGAACUGAGAUAGUAAUAAGUAAAUAUUUGGGUUUUAAAUUCUAUAGACAUGUGUGUUCACAUGCUGUAUUCUGACACAAAUGGGGUAGCAUAAGUGCCUAGAGCCCACCACAGUGACCUCAGAGGAGAACACAGAGCUUACUUGCACAAAUUUUUGCAUUCAGGAAGACCUGGGGUUGAAUGCUGCCCCUCUAAUUUAUUAGCUGUGAUAUAUCCUCUCUGCAGCUCAGUUAACAUUGCACAAGCCUUAGUUUACUCAUCUGUAAAAUGGGGACAAUGAUACCAACCUCAGUUACCGUAAGGUUUAAAACAGACAGUGUUAAUAAAGAGCCAAAUAUAAGCCCUUAAGAAAUAGUAGCUGUUGUUUUACUGCUGUAAAUGGUGACAGCAUGAGGACAAUGCUGUGUCCACAGGCACUUGUAUGUAGAAGGAAAGAGCCAAAUUAAAAAAAAAAAUAGGAGAAGAACUCGAAAAAUACAUAAAGGCUCAUUGCUCACUGUAGGGUUUUGUUUUUUGUUGUUGUUGUUUUGUUUUGGUUUUUGUUUAUUUUUUGAGACAGGGUCUCACUCUGUUGCCCAGAUAGGAGUGCAGUGGCAUGAUUUCAGCUCACUGCAACCUCCGCCUCCCAGGCUCAAGCGAUUCUCCUGCCUCAGCCUCCCAAGUAGCUGGGAUUACAGGCACGCACCACCACCACCCGACUAAGUUUUAUAUUUUUAGUAGAGACAGGGUUUCACCAUGUUGGCCAAGCUGGUCUUGAACUCCUGACCUCAAGUGAUCCACCCGCCUUGGCCUCCCAAAGUGCUGGGAUUACAAAUGUGAGUCACUGUGCCCAGCCUAUAGGGUAUUUUUAUAUUCCAACUAUUAAUUCUACUAGCAUGUAGCAUACAUGCAUUCACCCUAGUACAUAUGACUAGUAUAUAAUAUGCUUUACUUUUUAAAAAUGCUUUAUACAUGAGACUGAUCUUACCAUCUUCAAUAUCCUGUCUGGAAAGCCUUCAUUUGUGAGUGCUGUUGAGAUCACAUGUCCUCCCGAGUAGGACAUGGAGUGUGAAGGCCAUUGAGUGGGUGUUUCAAAGGGCAGCACAGAAUGGAGUUUAGUUGAAGGUGCUGGGGACACACUACCUGGGCUCAAGUCCCAGCUCCCCACUCUCCAGCUGUGCCACUUGAGCAAGUUGCUUGACCUCUCCAGGCCUGGGUUUCCUCAUCUGUAAAGUAGGAAUAUUGAUAAUAAUAUCUACUUCAUAGAGUUUCAUGAGAAUACAUGUAAAGGCCUGAAACCAGUAUUGGGUACAUAAUAAUACAUUCUUAAGAGUCUUUAUUUCUGACAAUGUACUUGAAAUGUUCCUGAAAUUAAGUUGGUGUUCAAUAAAAACUUGUUCACUGAAA